RNAcentral lists this transfer RNA (87 nucleotides) under Candidatus Zambryskibacteria bacterium RIFCSPLOWO2_01_FULL_35_19. RNAcentral describes it as "tRNA-Ser". It matches the Rfam family "tRNA". From Rfam's summary of the family: Transfer RNA (tRNA) molecules are approximately 80 nucleotides in length. Their secondary structure includes four short double-helical elements and three loops (D, anti-codon, and T loops). Further hydrogen bonds mediate the characteristic L-shaped molecular structure. tRNAs have two regions of fundamental functional importance: the anti-codon, which is responsible for specific mRNA codon recognition, and the 3' end, to which the tRNAs corresponding amino acid is attached (by aminoacyl-tRNA synthetases). tRNAs cope with the degeneracy of the genetic code in two manners: having more than one tRNA (with a specific anti-codon) for a particular amino acid; and 'wobble' base-pairing, i.e. permitting non-standard base-pairing at the 3rd anti-codon position. Lineage: Bacteria; Candidatus Zambryskiibacteriota. The record is from RNAcentral.
GGAGAGUUGGCUGAGUGGUCGAAAGCGCCUCACUGCUAACGAGGUGUCCCCUUACCGGGACCGUGGGUUCGAAUCCCACACUCUCCG